CUACGGGAUGCUCCAGUGAGGAAUAUUGGUCAAUGGGCGAAAGCCUGAACCAGCCAUGCCGCGUGAAGGAUGACGGCCCUAUGGGUUGUAAACUUCUUUUAUACGGGAAGAAACACCUCUACGUGUAGAGGUUUGACGGUACCGUACGAAUAAGCAUCGGCUAACUCCGUGCCAGCAGCCGCGGUAAUACGGAGGAUGCAAGCGUUAUCCGGAUUUAUUGGGUUUAAAGGGUACGUAGGCGGAAACUUAAGUCAGUAGUGAAAUCCCGCAGCUUAACUGUGGAACUGUUAUUGAUACUGGUUUCUCGAAUAUUGUUGAGGUAGGCGGAAUAAGUAAUGUAGCGGUGAAAUGCUUAGAUAUUACUUAGAACACCGAUUGCGAAGGCAGCUUACUAAGCAAUUAUUGACGCUGAGGUACGAAAGCGUGGGGAGCGAACAGGAUUAGAUACCCCGGUAGUC
Molecule: ribosomal RNA, 458 nt
Filed under: uncultured bacterium
Lineage: Bacteria
Description: partial 16S ribosomal RNA
Rfam family: Bacterial small subunit ribosomal RNA
Source: RNAcentral